CAACUCAUCAACAGUCUACUCCUUUUAUGUAUUGGAAGCUUGUCAACUUCUUUUUGAAAAGUUAAAGUUAAGUUAGAGCUAAGACCAUAAACAUAUGAAGACUGUCUGAGAAGACAUGACUGGAAACUGAAUAGGGCUGGGCGUGGUGGCUCACACCUGUAAUCCCAACAAUUUGGGAGGCCGAGGCGGGGGGAUCACCUGAAGUCAAGAGUUCGAGACCAGCCUGGUCAACAUGGAGAAAUCCUGUUUCCACUAAGAAUACAAGAAUUAGCCAGGCGUGGUGGCAGGUGCCUGUAAUCCCAGCUACUCAGGUGGCUGAGGCAGGAGAAUUGCUUCAACCCGGGAGGCAGAGGUUGCAGUGAUCCAAGAUCAUGCCACUGCACUCCAGCCUGGGAGACAGAGAAAGACUCCAUCUCAGGGGAAAAAAAAGAAAAGAAAAGAAAAAGAAAAGAAAACUGAAUAAUACUCUAUUUUUCUACAAUGAAUCUAGAAGAAAAAGAAAAGACCAAAUAUAGGAUUACUUGAAUGAGAUACCGGGAAUGAUCUUCCCCAAUGAGAAGAAAUAAAUGUGUUAAGUGAAACAUAAAAAGGCAUUGCUGAACUGUUAUGGUAAUAAGGAAUCUGCAGAGACACAUUUGUUGGGAAAGUAGAGAUCCACUUCACUUCUCGGGAUCCACUCUGAUGGCUUCAUGGAUAACAGAUCAUAAACUCGACAAAAAAGAUGGAAUUUGGAGGACAAGACAAGAGAUACUAAGAAGAGUAAACCCAAUAAACAGACUGCAGCACAGAAAGGGUCCAGGACCAGGGAGGUGGCUUGUUCAGGAAAGAGUUAACUCAACAGGUCUGGGAUAUUCAAAUCCCACACAUUUCGAAAAAAAGUUCUCUCCUCAUUGGCUCCUGGGAGAAAAUCUCUACGUCUUUGGACUAUUCUUCCA
Molecule: long non-coding RNA, 935 nt
Filed under: Homo sapiens (human)
Lineage: Eukaryota; Metazoa; Chordata; Mammalia; Primates; Hominidae
Description: HSALNT0063737
Source: RNAcentral